CUGCCUUUUCCAGCAUGAGAUUAUUCACUCGACGAUGUCACGACUCCCAAGUCUGAUGUCAUGGUUGUUUCCACAGCAACCAAAUUGAAUCAAGGAAUUAAAAACCAGGAGGAACUCACACAGAAUGGCAACACAACACAGGAGUGCCAUGAAGCAAGCCAUACCCUGCACAUGAUCCAAGAUCUCAACACGCCCAGCUGGUACAGUGCUAGCAUAGCUCAGCGAGGAAUAGCACAGCAUUGGAAACUCAGCACCUUGGCAUUGCACUGCUUUCUGAAUCCUGAUUAAAGGACACAAAAACGUGGUGGCACUGCAGGACUACUCCCGCUGGGGAUUAGGGUAGGGUUGCAGGGAGUGUCUCCUCCCACUGCAGCCCCUGUUUCCAUGCAGCCUCAGGGCACCUGGUGCAACCUCUGCCCACCUACAGGUGCCCAGCAGAGCUGCAGCUCCCCUUGGCCUGUGCAAUAUUCAGUGCUCAGAGACUGUGCUGCUCCUUGCUGGAGGAAGCCUGUAUUGCUAAUGGGAGAGGACAGAAGGAUGCAAGAUGAGCUGCUGUGCCAAGACUGCAUCAUUCUUUUCAGCCUCAGAGGUUUCCCCUAGACCCUCCUGCACUCAUCUUCCUCACCUGCAGGAGAUGCAUGCCUUGCCUUUCACUUGCCACAUGCAUCCUGCUCACUGUGCUUCAGUUUCUGAUGAUGCUGAAUACUCUCUUGCCCAACCCAAAGCCCCAAACCACCCCACUGUCCCACCCCUGUGUGAUACACCCUUUUCAGCACCCCACUGCAAAUGCUGGAGCAAAAAGUCCUGCUCCCCUAGCCAGACUGGGGCGAUCCAUGGCACACAGAGCAGGCAGCCCUCCUCAUAUGAAGGCUGCUUGAAGGAGAGUAUUUUUGCUGUGUCAGCAUCUCUGCUUCUCUAUCCCCUGUGUUUGCUGAUUGCAUCCUUGAAGCGUCACUGUCACGUUAGGUUUUCAGCAUGGAGCUGAGCCCUGAGCUCGGAGGGACAUGGAAAUCUGGGGAGGUCUUCUUCAGCAGAGUGCGAGAGGGGACAAAAAAAAAAGAGAAAGAGAAGGAACAACAUCUGCCUCCUCCUCCUGCCUUCUCCUUCCAUUCAACAGCAAGGCUCUUGCUCGAUUGGUAUGUGAUUGCUGAUGCUGUGAGAAGUGCUUGGGAGCCACCAGGUCAGGAUAAAGAGUCAGCACUGCCUACUCUGGGGCAAGGUGGAGGAACUUGGCAGAACCCCAGGACCUGGCAGCACACUCCUGGCAGUGCAGGAACCGAUGCUCGCACCAAGGAUGUGCCAUUCUCCAAAUCACUGCUGCUCACAGAGCUGCUGAAGAUAAACUUGACCUGUGUUACUGUGUCCAUCCUUUGGGUAUGCUGGAGAAAUCACUCCAGCUCUGUUCAACACCUGGGGCUGCACGUGGACUUCUAAUUAGAUGUCCUGCAUGACUUGGUAGUUGCCCUGGCGAGUAGAAGCCGUCAUUUAGAAGACAUUGCUAUUGAAGAGCAAGCGAGGAAGUGAGGAAAGAAAGAAGAAAUGGAGCUAAAAAACAGGAGGAGGAAAAAUUGUGCUCUUGGAGUGGGUAACUCAGAUGGCAGAGCAGGAAGAUCCUUAUUUCAAUAAACACUGGUAUCUUUGGAAUGAAUUAAAUUCC
RNAcentral lists this long non-coding RNA (1657 nucleotides) under Numida meleagris (helmeted guineafowl). Its description in RNAcentral is "lncRNA (ENSNMEG00000006607.1)". The record is from RNAcentral. Lineage: Eukaryota; Metazoa; Chordata; Aves; Galliformes; Numididae.